RNAcentral lists this ribosomal RNA (468 nucleotides) under uncultured bacterium. RNAcentral describes it as "partial 16S ribosomal RNA". It matches the Rfam family "Bacterial small subunit ribosomal RNA", at positions 28 to 507 of the family's 1533-position model. The record is from RNAcentral.
GACGAACGCUGGCGGCGUGCCUAACACAUGCAGGUCGAACGGAAAGGCCCUGCUUUUGUGGGGUGCUCGAGUGGCGAACGGGUGAGUAACACGUGAGUAACCUGCCCUUGACUUUGGGAUAACUUCAGGAAACUGGGGCUAAUACCGGAUAGGAGCUCCUGCUGCAUGGUGGGGGUUGGAAAGUUUCGGCGGUUGGGGAUGGACUCGCGGCUUAUCAGCUUGUUGGUGGGGUAGUGGCUUACCAAGGCUUUGACGGGUAGCCGGCCUGAGAGGGUGACCGGCCACAUUGGGACUGAGAUACGGCCCAGACCCCUACGGGAGGCAGCAGUGGGGAAUAUUGCACAAUGGGCGGAAGCCUGAUGCAGCAACGCCGCGUGCGGGAUGACGGCCUUCGGGUUGUAAACCGCUUUCGCCUGUGACGAAGCGUGAGUGACGGUAAUGGGUAAAGAAGCACCGGCUAACUACGUG